This 484-nucleotide ribosomal RNA is filed under the name uncultured bacterium. Its description in RNAcentral is "partial 16S ribosomal RNA". It matches the Rfam family "Bacterial small subunit ribosomal RNA", at positions 30 to 507 of the family's 1533-position model. The record is from RNAcentral.
AUUGAACGCUGGCGGCAGGCCUAACACAUGCAAGUCGAGCGGAUGAACGGAGCUUUCUCCUGGAUUCAGCGGCGGACGGGUGAGUAAUUCCUAGGAAUCUGCCUGGUAGUUUGGGCUAACGUCCCUUAACGGGCGCUAAUACCGCAUACGUCCUUAUGUUGAAAGUGGGGGAUCUUCGGACCUCACGCUAUCUGCUGUGCCUAAGUCGUAUUAGCUAGUUGGUUUGGUAAAGGCUUACCAAGGCGACUAUCCGUAACUGGUCUGAGAGGAUGAUCAGUCACACUGGAACUGAGACACGGUCCAGACUCCUACGGGAGGCAGCAGUGGGGAAUAUUGGACAAUGGGCGAAAGCCUGAUCCAGCCACGCCGCGUGUGUGAAGAAGGUCUUCGGAUUGUAAAGCACUUUUAGUUGGGAAGAAGGAAAGUAAGAUAAUACCUUGAUGUUUUGACGUUACCAACAGAAUAAGCACCGGCUAACUUCGUG